This 449-nucleotide non-coding RNA is filed under the name Perkinsus marinus ATCC 50983. Its description in RNAcentral is "Eukaryotic small subunit ribosomal RNA". It matches the Rfam family "Eukaryotic small subunit ribosomal RNA", at positions 1 to 453 of the family's 1831-position model. Lineage: Eukaryota; Perkinsozoa; Perkinsida; Perkinsidae. The record is from Rfam by way of RNAcentral.
CACCUGGUUGAUCCUGCCAGUAGUCAUAUGCUUGUCUCAAAGAUUAAGCCAUGCAUGUCUAAGUAUAAGCUUUAAACGGCGAAACUGCGAAUGGCUCAUUAAAACAGUUAUAGUUUAUUUGGUGAUCGAUUACUAUUUGGAUAACCGUAGUAAUUCUAGAGCUAAUACAUGCGUCAAGGCCCGACUUCGGAAGGGCUGCGUUUAUUAGAUACAGAACCAACCUAGGCUCCGCCUAGUCCUUGUUGGUGAUUCAUAAUAACCCGGCGAAUCGCACGGCUUGUCCGGCGAUGGACCAUUCAAGUUUCUGACCUAUCAGCUAUGGACGGUAGGGUAUUGGCCUACCGUGGCGUUGACGGGUAACGGGGAAUUAUGGUUCGAUUCUGGAGAGGGAGCCUGAGAAACGGCUACCACAUCUAAGAAGGCAGCAGCGCGCAAAUUACCCAAUCCUG